AGUGAACGCUGGCGGUAGGCCUAACACAUGCAAGUCGAACGGCAGCACAGUAAGAGCUUGCUCUUACGGUUGGCGAGUGGCGGACGGGUGAGAAGUACAUCGCAAUCUACUUUUUCGUGGGGGAUAACGUAGGGAAACUUCCGCUAAUACCGCAUACGACCUACGGGUGAAAUCAGGAGAUCUUCGGACCUUGCGCGAUUCAAUGAGCCGAUGUCGGAUUAGCUAGUUGGCGGGGUAAAGGCCCACCAAGGCGACGAUGCGUAGCUGGUCUGAGAGGAUGAUCAGCCACACUGGAACUGAGACACGGUCCAGACUCCUACGGGAGGCAGCAGUGGGGAAUAUUGGACAAUGGGCGAAAGCCUGACGCAGCAAUACUGCGUGGGUGAAGAAGGCCUUCGGGUUGUAAAGCCCUUUUGUUGGGAAAGAAAAGCAGCAGGUUAAUACCCCGCUGUUUUGACGGUACCCAAAGAAUAAGCACCGGCUAACUUCGUG
Molecule: ribosomal RNA, 492 nt
Filed under: uncultured bacterium
Lineage: Bacteria
Description: partial 16S ribosomal RNA
Rfam family: Bacterial small subunit ribosomal RNA
Source: RNAcentral